UACGUAGGUCCCGAGCGUUGUCCGGAUUUAUUGGGCGUAAAGCGAGCGCAGGUGGUUUAUUAAGUCUGGUGUAAAAGGCAGUGGCUCAACCAUUGUAUCCAUUGGAAACUGGUAGACUUGAGUGCAGGAGAGGAGAGUGGAAUUCCAUGUGUAGCGGUGAAAUGCGUAGAUAUAUGGAGGAACACCGGUGGCGAAAGCGGCUCUCUGGCCUGUAACUGACACUGAGGCUCGAAAGCGUGGGGAGCAAACAGG
This 252-nucleotide ribosomal RNA is filed under the name uncultured bacterium. RNAcentral describes it as "partial 16S ribosomal RNA". It matches the Rfam family "Bacterial small subunit ribosomal RNA", at positions 524 to 776 of the family's 1533-position model. The record is from RNAcentral.